UUUUCCGAGGAGCGUUGCGACGGGCGCGAUCAGCGUGCCCGCCAGGCUCGGAAGACUUCACCGAGCGGCCAUGCGCGGCGGCGAUCGACGAUCGCACCGGCGUGCCGCUUCCUGAACGGCGCUCACGUCAC
Molecule: non-coding RNA, 131 nt
Filed under: Burkholderia sp.
Lineage: Bacteria; Pseudomonadati; Pseudomonadota; Betaproteobacteria; Burkholderiales; Burkholderiaceae
Also listed under: 1 other name
Description: SAH sequence
Rfam family: SAH (S-adenosyl-L-homocysteine) riboswitch aptamer
Source: RNAcentral